RNAcentral lists this ribosomal RNA (456 nucleotides) under uncultured bacterium. Its description in RNAcentral is "bacterial SSU rRNA". It matches the Rfam family "Bacterial small subunit ribosomal RNA", at positions 29 to 534 of the family's 1533-position model. The record is from RNAcentral.
AACGAACGCUGGCGGCAUGCCUAACACAUGCAAGUCGAACGAGACCUUCGGGUCUAGUGACGCACGGGUGCGUAACGCGUGGGAACCUGCCUUUAGGUUCGGAAUAACUCAGAGAAAUUUGAGCUAAUACCGGAUGAUGUCUUCGGACCAAAGAUUUAUCGCCUUUAGAUGGGCCCGCGUUGGAUUAGCUAGUUGGUGUGGUAAAGGCGCACCAAGGCGACGAUCCUUAGCUGGUCUGAGAGGAUGAUCAGCCACACUGGGACUGAGACACGGCCCAGACUCCUACGGGAGGCAGCAGUGGGAAUAUUGGACAAUGGGCGAAAGCCUGAUCCAGCAAUGCCGCGUGAGUGAUGAAGGCCUUAGGUUGUAAAGCUCUUUACCGGAUGAUAAUGACAGUACCGGGAGAAUAAAGCUCCGGCUAACUCCGUGCCAGCAGCCGCGGUAAAGUGACUACUG